AGAGUUUGAUCCUGGCUCAGAUUGAACGCUGGCGGCAGGCCUAACACAUGCAAGUCGAGCGGUAGCACAGAGAGCUUGCUCUCGGGUGACGAGCGGCGGACGGGUGAGUAAUGUCUGGGAAACUGCCUGAUGGAGGGGGAUAACUACUGGAAACGGUAGCUAAUACCGCAUAACGUCGCAAGACCAAAGUGGGGGACCUUCGGGCCUCAUGCCAUCAGAUGUGCCCAGAUGGGAUUAGCUAGUAGGUGGGGUAAUGGCUCACCUAGGCGACGAUCCCUAGCUGGUCUGAGAGGAUGACCAGCCACACUGGAACUGAGACACGGUCCAGACUCCUACGGGAGGCAGCAGUGGGGAAUAUUGCACAAUGGGCGCAAGCCUGAUGCAGCCAUGCCGCGUGUAUGAAGAAGGCCUUCGGGUUGUAAAGUACUUUCAGCGAGGAGGAAGGCAUUAAGGUUAAUAACCUUGAUGAUUGACGUUACUCGCAGAAGAAGCACCGGCUAACUCCGUGCCAGCAGCCGCGGUAAUACGGAGGGUGCAAGCGUUAAUCGGAAUUACUGGGCGUAAAGCGCACGCAGGCGGUCUGUCAAGUCGGAUGUGAAAUCCCCGGGCUCAACCUGGGAACUGCAUUCGAAACUGGCAGGCUAGAGUCUUGUAGAGGGGGGUAGAAUUCCAGGUGUAGCGGUGAAAUGCGUAGAGAUCUGGAGGAAUACCGGUGGCGAAGGCGGCCCCCUGGACAAAGACUGACGCUCAGGUGCGAAAGCGUGGGGAGCAAACAGGAUUAGAUACCCUGGUAGUCCACGCCGUAAACGAUGUCGACUUGGAGGUUGUGCCCUUGAGGCGUGGCUUCCGGAGCUAACGCGUUAAGUCGACCGCCUGGGGAGUACGGCCGCAAGGUUAAAACUCAAAUGAAUUGACGGGGGCCCGCACAAGCGGUGGAGCAUGUGGUUUAAUUCGAUGCAACGCGAAGAACCUUACCUACUCUUGACAUCCAGGGAACUUAGCAGAGAUGCUUUGGUGCCUUCGGGAACUCUGAGACAGGUGCUGCAUGGCUGUCGUCAGCUCGUGUUGUGAAAUGUUGGGUUAAGUCCCGCAACGAGCGCAACCCUUAUCCUUUGUUGCCAGCGGUCCGGCCGGGAACUCAAAGGAGACUGCCAGUGAUAAACUGGAGGAAGGUGGGGAUGACGUCAAGUCAUCAUGGCCCUUACGAGUAGGGCUACACACGUGCUACAAUGGCAUAUACAAAGAGAAGCGACCUCGCGAGAGCAAGCGGACCUCAUAAAGUAUGUCGUAGUCCGGAUUGGAGUCUGCAACUCGACUCCAUGAAGUCGGAAUCGCUAGUAAUCGUAGAUCAGAAUGCUACGGUGAAUACGUUCCCGGGCCUUGUACACACCGCCCGUCACACCAUGGGAGUGGGUUGCAAAAGAAGUAGGUAGCUUAACCUUCGGGAGGGCGCUUACCACUUUGUGAUUCAUGACUGGGGUGAAGUCGUAACAAGGUAGCC
Molecule: ribosomal RNA, 1501 nt
Filed under: Klebsiella aerogenes
Lineage: Bacteria; Pseudomonadati; Pseudomonadota; Gammaproteobacteria; Enterobacterales; Enterobacteriaceae
Description: bacterial SSU rRNA
Rfam family: Bacterial small subunit ribosomal RNA
Source: RNAcentral